RNAcentral lists this ribosomal RNA (26 nucleotides) under Pieris japonica (Japanese andromeda). RNAcentral describes it as "partial 26S ribosomal RNA". Lineage: Eukaryota; Viridiplantae; Streptophyta; Magnoliopsida; Ericales; Ericaceae. The record is from RNAcentral.
CCAGGUCAGGCGGGAUUACCCGCUGA